This 301-nucleotide ribosomal RNA is filed under the name uncultured bacterium. RNAcentral's name for it is "partial 16S ribosomal RNA". It matches the Rfam family "Bacterial small subunit ribosomal RNA", at positions 509 to 809 of the family's 1533-position model. The record is from RNAcentral.
CAGUCGCCGCGGUAAUACGAAGGGGGCUAGCGUUGUUCGGAUUUACUGGGCGUAAAGCGCACGUAGGCGGACGCUUAAGUCAGGGGUGAAAUGCCGAGGCUCAACCUCGGAACUGCCUUUGAUACUGGGUGUCUUGAGUCCGGGAGAGGUGAGUGGAACUGCGAGUGUAGAGGUGAAAUUCGUAGAUAUUCGCAAGAACACCAGUGGCGAAGGCGGCUCACUGGCCCGGAACUGACGCUGAGGUGCGAAAGCGUGGGGAGCAAACAGGAUUAGAUACCCCCGUAGUCCCUGUCUCUUAUAA